GACGGGUGUGGAGCUCCCCGGGCGAGGCUUUCUGUCCCCUGUCCCCUCAGUCAAGCCUGUCCUGGUCACCAGCCUCCCCCAGAAGCUCAGUGUGAAGAGGACCCACUGGAACCUCUUCAGGUGCGCCUACAUGAUGGUGACCUUCCUCUUCGUGUCCUACAACAGAGGAGACUGGGAACGACCCCUGCUGUGCUUUCUAGUGCGCGUCCUUCUGCCCAACUCAACCUUCAGGGGCCUCCACCUCCCAGAGAAUCCUCUGUCCCCUGGAUGGCCAGCGUGGAGGGUGGCAGCAGCUCUGUCUGCCUCUUUGAGGCCGCGUUAGAGGAUGGGCCCAGAGUAGCCGAGUGAACCUCUUGGGGGGUCUCCAGACAUUGCCGAUCCCCCCAAUUAAAUGCACACUUGUUGAAUGGC
This 411-nucleotide long non-coding RNA is filed under the name Ictidomys tridecemlineatus (thirteen-lined ground squirrel). RNAcentral's name for it is "lncRNA (ENSSTOG00000029981.1)". The record is from RNAcentral. Lineage: Eukaryota; Metazoa; Chordata; Mammalia; Rodentia; Sciuridae.